This 213-nucleotide unclassified non-coding RNA is filed under the name Hevea brasiliensis (rubber tree). Lineage: Eukaryota; Viridiplantae; Streptophyta; Magnoliopsida; Malpighiales; Euphorbiaceae. The record is from RNAcentral.
GGAAAAUAGAAAGUGGAGGAUAGAUGAUCAUGUUUGAGUUAUCAUUACUGGGAAAUAUAUAUAUAUUUGAUAUAUACAGAAUCAUAAUUUAAUUUUUAUCGAUUUGAUAUCUAUGUUUUUCUUCGUUAAUAAAUAUAUGCCUAACCAUUAGUUAUCAUUAAGUAAAGAUAACAUAACAACACAUAUAGGACACAAUUCAUUGAUCCAACAUUA